GAUGAAGAACGUAGCGAAAUGCGAUAAGUAAUGUGAAUUGCAGAAUUCAGUGAAUCAUCGAAUCUUUGAACGCACAUUGCGCCCCCUGGUAUUCCGGGGGGCAUGCCUGUUCGAGCGUCAUUUCACCACUCAAGCCUCGCUUGGUAUUGGCCAACGCGGUCCGCCGCGUGCCUCAAAUCGACCGGCUGGGUCUUCUGUCCCCUAAGCGUUGUGGAAACUUUCGCUAAAGGGUGUUCGGGAGGCUACGCCGUAAAACAACCCCAUUUCUAAGGUUGACCUCGGAUCAGGUAGGGAUACCCGCUGAACUUAAGCAUAUCAAUAAGCGGAGGA
Molecule: unclassified non-coding RNA, 330 nt
Filed under: soil metagenome
Description: partial contains 5.8S ribosomal RNA, internal transcribed spacer 2, and large subunit ribosomal RNA
Rfam family: 5.8S ribosomal RNA (bases 1-120)
Source: RNAcentral